Molecule: ribosomal RNA, 1200 nt
Filed under: Salmonella sp.
Lineage: Bacteria; Pseudomonadati; Pseudomonadota; Gammaproteobacteria; Enterobacterales; Enterobacteriaceae
Description: bacterial SSU rRNA
Rfam family: Bacterial small subunit ribosomal RNA
Source: RNAcentral
AGUCGAACGGUAACAGGAAGCAGCUUGCUGCUUUGCUGACGAGUGGCGGACGGGUGAGUAAUGUCUGGGAAACUGCCUGAUGGAGGGGGAUAACUACUGGAAACGGUGGCUAAUACCGCAUAACGUCGCAAGACCAAAGAGGGGGACCUUCGGGCCUCUUGCCAUCAGAUGUGCCCAGAUGGGAUUAGCUUGUUGGUGAGGUAACGGCUCACCAAGGCGACGAUCCCUAGCUGGUCUGAGAGGAUGACCAGCCACACUGGAACUGAGACACGGUCCAGACUCCUACGGGAGGCAGCAGUGGGGAAUAUUGCACAAUGGGCGCAAGCCUGAUGCAGCCAUGCCGCGUGUAUGAAGAAGGCCUUCGGGUUGUAAAGUACUUUCAGCGGGGAGGAAGGUGUUGUGGUUAAUAACCGCAGCAAUUGACGUUACCCGCAGAAGAAGCACCGGCUAACUCCGUGCCAGCAGCCGCGGUAAUACGGAGGCUGCAAGCGUUAAUCGGAAUUACUGGGCGUAAAGCGCACGCAGGCGGUCUGUCAAGUCGGAUGUGAAAUCCCCGGGCUCAACCUGGGAACUGCAUUCGAAACUGGCAGGCUUGAGUCUUGUAGAGGGGGGUAGAAUUCCAGGUGUAGCGGUGAAAUGCGUAGAGAUCUGGAGGAAUACCGGUGGCGAAGGCGGCCCCCUGGACAAAGACUGACGCUCAGGUGCGAAAGCGUGGGGAGCAAACAGGAUUAGAUACCCUGGUAGUCCACGCCGUAAACGAUGUCUACUUGGAGGUUGUGCCCUUGAGGCGUGGCUUCCGGAGCUAACGCGUUAAGUAGACCGCCUGGGGAGUACGGCCGCAAGGUUAAAACUCAAAUGAAUUGACGGGGGCCCGCACAAGCGGUGGAGCAUGUGGUUUAAUUCGAUGCAACGCGAAGAACCUUACGUGGUCUUGACAUCCACAGAACUUUCCAGAGAUGGAUUGGUGCCUUCGGGAACUGUGAGACAGGUGCUGCAUGGCUGUCGUCAGCUCGUGUUGUGAAAUGUUGGGUUAAGUCCCGCAACGAGCGCAACCCUUAUCCUUUGUUGCCAGCGGUCCGGCCGGGAACUCAAAGGAGACUGCCAGUGAUAAACUGGAGGAAGGUGGGGAUGACGUCAAGUCAUCAUGGCCCUUACGACCAGGGCUACACACGUGCUACAAUGGCGCAUACAAAGAGAAGC